RNAcentral lists this ribosomal RNA (251 nucleotides) under uncultured prokaryote. Its description in RNAcentral is "partial 16S ribosomal RNA". It matches the Rfam family "Bacterial small subunit ribosomal RNA", at positions 525 to 775 of the family's 1533-position model. The record is from RNAcentral.
ACGUAGGGUGCGAGCGUUAAUCGGAAUUACUGGGCGUAAAGCGUGCGCAGGCGGAUUGUUAAGCAGGACGCGAAAUCCCCGGGCUUAACCUGGGAAUGGCGCUUGUGACUGGCGGGCUGGAGUACGGCAGAGGGGGGUGGAAUUCCACGUGUAGCGGUGAAAUGCGUAGAGAUGUGGAGGAACACCGAUGGCGAAGGCAGCCCCCUGGGCCGAUACUGACGCUCAUGCACGAAAGCGUGGGGAGCAAACAG